Molecule: unclassified non-coding RNA, 314 nt
Filed under: uncultured fungus
Lineage: Eukaryota; Fungi
Description: partial contains small subunit ribosomal RNA, internal transcribed spacer 1, and 5.8S ribosomal RNA
Rfam family: Eukaryotic small subunit ribosomal RNA (bases 1-73)
Source: RNAcentral
GCAAACUUGGUCAUUUAGAGGAAGUAAAAGUCGUAACAAGGUUUCCGUAGGUGAACCUGCGGAAGGAUCAUUACCGAAGUGAGGGUUCCGUACCUGGAACCCAAUCUCCCACCCGUGUUUUAACUAUACUGUGUUGCUUCGGCGGGCCCACUGGGCCCUUGUUCCCGGUCGCCGGGGGGCGCAAAACCCCCGGGCCCGUGCCCGCCGGAGACCCCCAGAAACUCUUGUUUGAAUGAGUUGGUCUGAGCAACAAUGAUAAUCAUAAAACUUUCAACAACGGAUCUCUUGGUUCCGGCAUCGAUGAAGAACGCAGC